AGCGGUGGAGCAUGUGGUUUAAUUCGAAGCAACGCGAAGAACCUUACCAGGUCUUGACAUACUCGUGCUAUUCCUAGAGAUAGGAAGUUCCUUCGGGACACGGGAUACAGGUGGUGCAUGGUUGUCGUCAGCUCGUGUCGUGAGAUGUCGGGUUAAGUCCCGCAACGAGCGCAACCCCUAUUGUUAGUUGCCAUCAUUAAGUUGGGCACUCUAACGAGACUGCCGGUGAUAAACCGGAGGAAGGUGGGGAUGACGUCAAAUCAUCAUGCCCCUUAUGACCUGGGCUACACACGUGCUACAAUGGAUGGUACAACGAGUCGCGAGACAGUGAUGUUUAGCUAAUCUCUUAAAACCAUUCUCAGUUCGGAUUGUAGGCUGCAACUCGCCUACAUGAAGUCGGAAUCGCUAGUAAUCGCGGAUCAGCACGCCGCGGUGAAUACGUUCCCGGGC
This 450-nucleotide ribosomal RNA is filed under the name uncultured bacterium. Its description in RNAcentral is "bacterial SSU rRNA". It matches the Rfam family "Bacterial small subunit ribosomal RNA", at positions 928 to 1379 of the family's 1533-position model. The record is from RNAcentral.